This is a long non-coding RNA of Thalassophryne amazonica, 89 nucleotides long. RefSeq lists it as uncharacterized. The transcript has 4 exons. The record is from RefSeq and is a predicted model, not a curated record. Lineage: Eukaryota; Metazoa; Chordata; Actinopteri; Batrachoidiformes; Batrachoididae.
UUUUUCACUGGCACUCAAAAUUAAAGCAGAACAGCAAAAUAAUACAUGAAUGUCCCAACUGCCUGUGUCACCUCAGAUCCAGGCGAAAU